This 512-nucleotide ribosomal RNA is filed under the name uncultured bacterium. RNAcentral's name for it is "bacterial SSU rRNA". It matches the Rfam family "Bacterial small subunit ribosomal RNA", at positions 28 to 504 of the family's 1533-position model. The record is from RNAcentral.
GAUGAACGCUGGCGGCGUGCCUAAUACAUGCAAGUCGAACGAGUUCUCGUUGAUGAUCGGUGCUUGCACCGAGAUUCAACAUAGAACGAGUGGCGGACGGGUGAGUAACACGUGGGUAACCUGCUCUUAAGUGGGGGAUAACAUUUGGAAACAGAUGCUAAUACCGCAUAGAUCCAAGAACCGCAUGGUUCUUGGCUGAAAGAUGGCGUAAGCUAUCGCUUUUGGAUGGACCCGCGGCGUAUUAGCUAGUUGGUGAGGUAACGGCUCACCAAGGCGAUGAUACGUAGCCGAACUGAGAGGUUGAUCGGCCACAUUGGGACUGAGACACGGCCCAAACUCCUACGGGAGGCAGCAGUAGGGAAUCUUCCACAAUGGACGCAAGUCUGAUGGAGCAACGCCGCGUGAGUGAAGAAGGCUUUCGGGUCGUAAAACUCUGUUGUUGGAGAAGAAUGGUCGGCAGAGUAACUGUUGUCGGCGUGACGGUAUCCAACCAGAAAGCCACGGCUAACUAC